This is a transfer RNA of 73 nucleotides. It matches the Rfam family "tRNA". Rfam says of the family: Transfer RNA (tRNA) molecules are approximately 80 nucleotides in length. The record is from Rfam.
AGUCCCAUGGGGUAGAGGUCAAUCCUGCUGGACUUUGGAUCCGGCGACACCGGUUCGAAUCCGGUUGGGACUA